GAUGAACGCUGGCGGCGUGCCUAAUACAUGCAAGUCGAGCGAACAGACGAGGAGCUUGCUCCUCUGACGUUAGCGGCGGACGGGUGAGUAACACGUGGAUAACCUACCUAUAAGACUGGGAUAACUUCGGGAAACCGGAGCUAAUACCGGAUAAUAUAUUGAACCGCAUGGUUCAAUAGUGAAAGACGGUUUUGCUGUCACUUAUAGAUGGAUCCGCGCCGCAUUAGCUAGUUGGUAAGGUAACGGCUUACCAAGGCAACGAUGCGUAGCCGACCUGAGAGGGUGAUCGGCCACACUGGAACUGAGACACGGUCCAGACUCCUACGGGAGGCAGCAGUAGGGAAUCUUCCGCAAAGGGCGAAAGCCUGACGGAGCAACGCCGCGUGAGUGAUGAAGGUCUUCGGAUCCUAAAACUCUGUUAUUAGGGAAGAACAAAUGUGUAAGUAACUAUGCACGUCUUGACGGUACCUAAUCAGAAAGCCACGGCUAACUACGUG
This 497-nucleotide ribosomal RNA is filed under the name uncultured bacterium. RNAcentral describes it as "partial 16S ribosomal RNA". It matches the Rfam family "Bacterial small subunit ribosomal RNA", at positions 28 to 507 of the family's 1533-position model. The record is from RNAcentral.